ACCUGCGGAAGGAUCAUUGUCGUGACCUGACCAAAACAGACCGCGAACAUGUCAUCUAUGCAGCCGGCUGAUAGGGCUUGCACCUGUCUCUCGGCCUGAGCCACCAUCCUUCUUACAGAAGGACGGGGUGCCAAAAGAACCCACGACGCCGUAGGGCGUCAAGGAAAACCAAUAUUGCCUUGCGUGGGGCCGCGGCCGGCUUGCCGGAUGCAAACCCAGUGCAGCGAUGCUAUGGAAAAUCACAAGACUCUCGGCAACGGAUAUCUCGGCUCUUGCAUCGAUGAAGAACGUAGCAAAAUGCGAUACCUGGUGUGAAUUGCAGAAUCCCGUGAACCAUCGAGUUUUUGAACGCAAGUUGCGCCCGAGGCCUUGCGGCUGAGGGCACGUCUGCCUGGGCGUCACGCCAAAAGACACUCCACACGAUUUCCGGUCUGGAUGUGGUGUUUGGCCCCUCAUCCCGUAGUGUAUGGUGGGCCAAAGACGCGGCUGCCGGCGGUGCCGGUCACAGCACAUGGUGGAUGACACAAGUUAUUCUCGGUGUUAUGAUCCGGACAACUCCCGGUCAUGCUAAUGCCCCUUUGGACCCGUGGUUUUGGUGCCAUGAAGCUCGGACCGCGACCCCAGGUCAGUCGGGACUACCCGCUGAAUUUAAGCAUAUCAAUAAGCGG
This 668-nucleotide ribosomal RNA is filed under the name Chrysochloa annua. Its description in RNAcentral is "eukaryotic LSU rRNA". The stretch from base 246 to 401 matches the Rfam family "5.8S ribosomal RNA". Lineage: Eukaryota; Viridiplantae; Streptophyta; Magnoliopsida; Poales; Poaceae. The record is from RNAcentral.